RNAcentral lists this ribosomal RNA (690 nucleotides) under uncultured Lysobacteraceae bacterium. Its description in RNAcentral is "bacterial SSU rRNA". It matches the Rfam family "Bacterial small subunit ribosomal RNA", at positions 8 to 687 of the family's 1533-position model. The record is from RNAcentral. Lineage: Bacteria; Pseudomonadati; Pseudomonadota; Gammaproteobacteria; Lysobacterales; Lysobacteraceae.
AGAGUUUGAUCUUGGCUCAGAGUGAACGCUGGCGGCAGGCCUAACACAUGCAAGUCGAACGGCAGCACGGCAGUAGCAAUACUGUGGGUGGCGAGUGGCGGACGGGUGAGGAAUACAUCGGGAUCUACCCUGUUGUGGGGGAUAACGUAGGGAAACUUACGCUAAUACCGCAUAAGAACUGAGGUUGAAAGCGGCGGACCGCAAGGCGUCGCGCGAUUGGAUGAACCGAUGUCCGAUUAGCUAGUUGGCGGGGUAAAGGCCCACCAAGGCGACGAUCGGUAGCUGGUCUGAGAGGACGACCAGCCACACUGGAACUGAGACACGGUCCAGACUCCUACGGGAGGCAGCAGUGGGGAAUAUUGGACAAUGGGCGCAAGCCUGAUCCAGCCAUGCCGCGUGGGUGAAGAAGGCCUUCGGGUUGUAAAGCCCUUUUGUCCGGAAAGAAAAGCUCGUGGUUAAUACCCGCGGGUUCUGACGGUACCGGAAGAAUAAGCACCGGCUAACUUCGUGCCAGCAGCCGCGGUAAUACGAAGGGUGCAAGCGUUACUCGGAAUUACUGGGCGUAAAGCGUGCGUAGGUGGUGAGUUAAGUCUGUCGUGAAAUCCCCGGGCUCAACCUGGGAAUGGCGAUGGAUACUGGCUCGCUAGAGUGCGGUAGAGGAGAGUGGAAUUCCCGGUGUAGCAGUGAAAU